RNAcentral lists this long non-coding RNA (256 nucleotides) under Salmo salar (Atlantic salmon). RNAcentral's name for it is "lncRNA (ENSSSAG00000100151.1)". Lineage: Eukaryota; Metazoa; Chordata; Actinopteri; Salmoniformes; Salmonidae. The record is from RNAcentral.
GAGAGAGCGAGACAGUAGAGUGAGAGAGACAGUAGAGAGAGACAGUAGAGAGAGAGAACCAGUAGAGAGAGAGACAGUUGAGACAGUAGAGAGAGACAGUAGAGAGAGAGAGACAGUAGAGAGAGAGAGACAGUAGAGAGAGAGAGAGAGAGACAGACAGUAGAGAGAGAGAGAGACAGUAGAGGGAGACAGUAGAGAGAGAGAGAGAGAGACAGUAGAGAGAGAGAGAAGAGACAGAGAGAGAGUCAGUAGAGAG